GAGAACGUGGUGUAGCCGGAUAACAUCUCAGUUAAUAAAACUGAAGAUUGAGGGUUCAAAUCCCUCCGUUUUCG
Molecule: transfer RNA, 74 nt
Filed under: Microcoleus vaginatus PCC 9802
Lineage: Bacteria; Bacillati; Cyanobacteriota; Cyanophyceae; Oscillatoriales; Microcoleaceae
Also listed under: 1 other name
Description: tRNA-Tyr
Rfam family: tRNA
About the family: Transfer RNA (tRNA) molecules are approximately 80 nucleotides in length. Their secondary structure includes four short double-helical elements and three loops (D, anti-codon, and T loops).
Source: RNAcentral